RNAcentral lists this transfer RNA (71 nucleotides) under Marmota monax (woodchuck). RNAcentral's name for it is "tRNA.Ser". It matches the Rfam family "tRNA". Rfam says of the family: Transfer RNA (tRNA) molecules are approximately 80 nucleotides in length. Their secondary structure includes four short double-helical elements and three loops (D, anti-codon, and T loops). Further hydrogen bonds mediate the characteristic L-shaped molecular structure. tRNAs have two regions of fundamental functional importance: the anti-codon, which is responsible for specific mRNA codon recognition, and the 3' end, to which the tRNAs corresponding amino acid is attached (by aminoacyl-tRNA synthetases). tRNAs cope with the degeneracy of the genetic code in two manners: having more than one tRNA (with a specific anti-codon) for a particular amino acid; and 'wobble' base-pairing, i.e. permitting non-standard base-pairing at the 3rd anti-codon position. The record is from RNAcentral. Lineage: Eukaryota; Metazoa; Chordata; Mammalia; Rodentia; Sciuridae.
GGGGCUGUAGCUCAGUAGAAGAGCGCUUGCCUAGAAUGCAUGAGGCACUGGGUUCGAUCUUCAGCACCACA